This 254-nucleotide ribosomal RNA is filed under the name uncultured bacterium. Its description in RNAcentral is "partial 16S ribosomal RNA". It matches the Rfam family "Bacterial small subunit ribosomal RNA", at positions 524 to 776 of the family's 1533-position model. The record is from RNAcentral.
UACGUAGGAGGCGAGCGUUGUCCGGAGUUACUGGGCGUAAAGGGUGCGCAGGCGGCGGUUCGCGUGGAUAGAUGAAACCUCCUGGCUUACCUGGGAGGAUGGUAUCCAGACGGGAUCGCUUGAGGGUCGGAGAGGGGCGUGGAAUUCCGGGUGGAGCGGUGAAAUGCGUAGAGAUCCGGAGGAACACCGACGGCGUAGGCAGCGCCCUGGACGACACCUGACGCUGAGGCACGAAAGCUGGGGGAGCGAACAGG